GACGAACGCUGGCGGCGUGCUUAACACAUGCAAGUCGAACGGAAAGGCCCUGCUUUUGUGGGGUGCUCGAGUGGCGAACGGGUGAGUAACACGUGAGUAACCUGCCCUUGACUUUGGGAUAACUUCAGGAAACUGGGGCUAAUACCGGAUAGGAGCUCCUGCUGCAUGGUGGGGGUUGGAAAGUUUCGGCGGUUGGGGAUGGACUCGCGGCUUAUCAGCUUGUUGGUGGGGUAGUGGCUUACCAAGGCUUUGACGGGUAGCCGGCCUGAGAGGGUGACCGGCGACAUUGGGACUGAGAUACGGACCAGACUCCUACGGGAGGCAGAAGUGGGGAAUAUUGCACAAUGGGCGGAAGCCUGAUGCAGCAACGCCGCGUGCGGGAUGACGGCCUUCGGGUUGUAAACCGCUUUCGCCUGUGACGAAGCGUGAGUGACGGUAAUGGGUAAAGAAGCACCGGCUAACUACGUG
This 468-nucleotide ribosomal RNA is filed under the name uncultured bacterium. RNAcentral's name for it is "partial 16S ribosomal RNA". It matches the Rfam family "Bacterial small subunit ribosomal RNA", at positions 28 to 507 of the family's 1533-position model. The record is from RNAcentral.